Molecule: long non-coding RNA, 985 nt
Organism: Chinchilla lanigera (long-tailed chinchilla)
Lineage: Eukaryota; Metazoa; Chordata; Mammalia; Rodentia; Chinchillidae
Exons: 3
Source: RefSeq, a predicted model, not a curated record
GCUUAUGGCGCUGAGCUACAUCCCUGGCCCCGUAGCUGGUACAUUUUCUAAGCACUGCACUUGCCACCAUACGGAUUUGAUUGUGUUAUUUUACUGUGCAGUUUAAAGAUCCCAGGACUUGGGAAGAUAUUUCCUUGCAUUUCAUAGGGUUUCCAUUUCCCAAAGCAGUAGAACAGAUGCCUGCGUCAGAUUGAGCAGGUACAGAAGUGCCAUCCGCGUGCCUGCCAGUGUCCCCCACCUCGUUUUCCGGAGUGCCUCUUCAGGAGGAUGCCUCCUUUCCUAUGUGCUGCCAGAAGUGGUACAGCUAAGCCCUUCAUUGCUGGCCGAACAGUGAGCCUAGCACCAGGUCUUGCCUGCGUAAAUGGAAGCCACAUUCAGGAGCCCAGCAUUGGCUGCUUCUCAGCACCUUGGGACAGCUGUUAACAUUUGGCAGAUAAAGACAAUGAAAGAGAAGUCAUUUGUCUGAGCAUCAGCGCAGAAAGUCUUCCCACAGGUUAUGCCCUCAUGCUUCUCUGGAAGAAAGAGAAACCAGGCUUGAGUUGAGGAAUGACUUCUGUUGGUUGCUUUUCAAAGUCUACAGUUCAAGUGUUUAUUCUCCAAGUAUUGUCUUAUCAAAUUCUAAGCAAAUAAGAAACUUACAACCAAAUGUCAGUCAUCUCCAUUGGCACUUCUAACAAAAUAUAACUCACUGCUAUUACUACACACACUGCUUAAUCAGGCCAAUUUUCAUCACAGCAAGUCUGCAAUCUAAUGAAGCAGUACACAGAUGGACAUUCUCAAGCAAGCAAGCAAGUUUAGAGUUCUUCCUGUACAGUAAUGACCAGCUCUGAAACCAGUCAUCCUUGGGAGCACUGGAGAACACUCCUGACACCUUCUACUGAGGAAAAUCAUAGCAACUCUUGUUGAAUAGCAAUAUCUUCAGGAGAACAAACUUAGAGAAAGUAAGAAGUUGAAUAAAUAAUUGUAAUUAAACAAUUCCUAUUUA